Molecule: unclassified non-coding RNA, 3442 nt
Filed under: Acyrthosiphon pisum (pea aphid)
Lineage: Eukaryota; Metazoa; Arthropoda; Insecta; Hemiptera; Aphididae
Description: phosphatidylinositol phosphatase PTPRQ, transcript variant X4
Source: RNAcentral
GUCAUCGCGCUAGUCGCAGUUGAUUUACUUUCGAAGACGAAUUAAUAUUAUUUCGUGCAUACAAUUUUUUAUACCAACUAAACUGCGAUUAGAUGAUAAUAAUAAUGUGGUAAACAAUAUUUGAAUAUUAUAUUAUUGUGUAUCACUUCAGUGGUAUUUUAGUUGUUACAUGAGACGACGAAUCGUAUAAACAGCCAUAACACCCAUAACGGCCAUAACAACUAAAACAGUAGCCACUGUUUCCGAAAUGACAACCACAUCAGACAUGAACUUGUCUAACAGUUUUUUCAAAGCGUCGUUAACGCUGUUAACGGUUUAUGUGACUGUAGCUUCUACGCUACGCCAACCAGAAGAUUUCCAAAGACGUGUCAUUAAAUUGACUAUAGACUCUAUUAGCCCAACAGCGUUUUAUGCCGAAUGGAGACUAUUGCCAGACAUCGACGGCACUGUAAAUUAUUCACUCACGUAUUCCACUCAACUCAACACCGAAGUUAAAUUAACUAGUGGCAACAACUUAACACUGACCGGGUUGAUGGAAUGCACAGCCUAUAUAAUUACGGUGAGGAGUUUAUAUUAUGGAGUCGGUGAAAAUGCGUUUGGCGGUCCCUUUACUUCUACAGUAGCGCUGACUUCACAUACUUCCCAAUUGAAAGCAGUGAGGAACUUAAUCUUAGUGAUUUCGAGUCACUCGAUUUUGAUUUCAUGGGAAAACCCGGCGGAACAGAAAUUGUGUACGGCGCAUAUUCACGUCUCAUUGACUUCAAUUAGGGACACUGGCCAAGAAAUACUAACUGAAUUUGACCAUCACAUAAUGACAGCGUUAGAGCCCUGCGUCACAUAUUUUGGUUACGUUUCCGCGGUCGAUUUCGUUGGCGUCAAAGGAACUCCCGUGGCGUUCAAUGUGACAACGGACACUGGAAUACCCGGGCCUGUAGUGAAAUUAACAGCUUUGUCAAAUUACUCGAGAACUAUAUUCGUUAGAUGGGAUAAACCGAUUAAUUCGUCUUUCUGUUUUCGUCAAUACGUAAUCGUUUAUUGUUACGAUAUGUUUGUUUGCUCUACAAUUAUUACUGAAACCAACUCUUUGACUAUUUCACACCUAAUGCCUUGUGUAACGUACCAAAUAACAGUCACGCCGAAGAUGACUGACACCGAGAAUGGCAUGCCAGCCAGAACCAAAGCCACUGUAAUCGCUGAAGUUUUGGAAAAGCCAAAGAAUGGACGAAUAUUGUUAUUAACCAGUAAUAACGUCACUCUGCAAUGGGAUCAUCCUAUCGAUUCCGUUUGCAAUUUUAUACACCAAAUCGUAAACUGUUCGUAUUUGAAUACUUCACUUGAGAUGACAGCAUAUACAACAGUCCAAGCAGUAGUCAUCGAUAACUUGAAACCUUUCACAAAAUACAUUUGUUACUCGGCGUAUUUUAAUAAGCAAGGUUAUUCAGAAAAGAGUGACGAAAUCAUAUUUCGGACAAAGUUACAGGUGCCAGACCCACCGACAAAUUUAUCCAUCAUUAAAUUGUUCGCCAACAGCGUGGUCCUUGCGUGGGCAGCGCCUACUACGAUAUCGCACGAUGCAAUCGACGAAUACCGUUGGAUAGUAACGUUCAAGAAUUUUUUAUACGAUCUUCCGAAUCACUGCGCUCCCAGAACCGUGGAACCCGUGGUCACAUAUUUCGUUAAAAAUGACCAGACGUACCAGUAUCAAAUUGCGAAUCUAAUGCCCGCUAGCUGCUACCUCGUAGAAUUGAGCGCUGCAACAGAGUCCGGUCUUGGAAAUUCGACAAAUAUUACGAUGCACACAUUAUCUUCGACUAGUUCUCCGGUUAAAAACCUACAAGUCACAUCGAUAGAAUUCAAUUUGGUCGUCCUAAGUUGGAAGUACCCAUGCAUGCCAAACGGAAAAAUUGCAUUUUUCCACAGUACACUAGUGGGAGAAAGACUUGGAUUUCAUAAUCACAUUUUUAGUAUUAAAUGCGAUAUUUCAGACAAUGAAACGGAAUUCCAAUAUAGCUUAACUCAAUUACUGCCUGAAUACACGUACGUCUGUACGGUAGCAGCAAUAACCGAUUCCGUGGAGAACCCGGGUCAAGACAAACGCAUUCGAUUUAUCACACCAUCGACAAGCCCGGAUUUACCGAAUAAAUACGAUACAUACCGCAAAUUACGAGUGACCGUAUCCGACAGUCAUCUUACGCAAGUCCAUUUGUCCAUACCCGGCGACUUGUUCACGAGCACCUCCGGAAACAUCUUAUACUAUUCGAUAAUCGUUUACCAGGACGGUGGAUUUCCGGAUAAACCGGAACAUGGCAAUAGGUUAAAUAAUCCACGACAGCAGAUGGACGACGACGUCUGGCCGCCCGUAAUGCGGACGUGGGCCGAAGCUGCGCCGUACCCUUUCAUACUGGCGUACCAGACGACCCCCGAUCGGUGGAUGCCUUUCAAAGACCAAAAUGAUGGGGUUUUCGACAUUGGCGCGGAUGACACCUGUUCCAUAAACGAUAUGAAAAGUUAUUGCAACGGGCCGCUGAGACCAGUUACCAAUUACAGACUGAAACUCAGGGCUUUUACCGCAGACGGGUUUCAAGAUUCAUGGACCGUACCAUUUACUACGCGCGGAAAACCCACUGCAGUCUACUAUUUGGUGUUGUACAGUGUACUGUUCGCGGUGAUCAUCACUGCGACCGGAAUGUAUUGUAUACUCAACGAAAAAGUCCCGUGGGCUGUACAGUACAGAGUGGUACACCCGACAACACGCCAAGAGCCCGGUUUGCCGAGUGACAUGAACUUCAAACACCUGUGGGCCAAAACUCCCCAAGAAAUCGAGGCCGAGUACGACCUACUGAAUAUGUACUCGAAAUCAAACUUCACGACGGAUGUGGCUGUGAUGCCUCAGAACAAGUUCAAAAACCGUUACAUCAACGCGUUACCAUAUGACUACAACCGAGUGAUUUUAAGGUCCGGCGACACUGAUGACUACAUAAAUGCAUCUUUUAUCGAAGAUUCCAAAGGUCAUCGCCAAUAUAUAGCUUGCCAAGGUCCCUUGAAAAAUACUUGCGUUGAUAUGUGGCAAAUGGUUUUGGAUCAAGACGUGGCUUCGAUUGUUAUGUUGUGUCAGAUAAGUGAAAAAGACAAGAUAAAAUGCAAUAAAUAUUUUCCAAACAGCAAUGAAAAAUUAGUCUUUGGCGAUAUUCAAGUGAAAAACGACAUAACGAUUGUCGACAAAGAGCGUUAUUCGUUCACAAUAAGAAUAUUGACGGUUCUAAAAAAACCGGUCUAAAAUUGAAACUAAUAACAGUAUCGAUCUAUAUUGAACUACCAACUACACAUUUUAUGAGUUAGGAGUUAGGACUCGUGGAUUUCGUGUUUUCAGGGCCAUGUAAAAAAGACGAUAAGACAUUUUCAAUUUCACGACUGGCCGGAUUUCGGAACACCAAACGACCCG